GACGAACGCUGGCGGCGUGCUUAACACAUGCAAGUCGAACGGUAAGGCCCUUUGGGGUACACGAGUGGCGAACGGGUGAGUAACACGUGGGUGAUCUACCCUGCACUUCGGGAUAAGCCUGGGAAACUGGGUCUAAUACCGGAUAGGACCACUGCCUGCAUGGGUGGGGGUGGAAAGCUUUUGCGGUGUGGGAUGGGCCCGCGGCCUAUCAGCUUGUUGGUGGGGUGAUGGCCUACCAAGGCGACGACGGGUAGCCGGCCUGAGAAGGUGACCGGCCACACUGGGACUGAGAUACGGCCCAGACUCCUACGGGAGGCAGCAGUGGGGAAUAUUGCACAAUGGGCGCAAGCCUGAUGCAGCGACGCUGCGUGAGGGAUGACGGCCUUCGGGUUGUAAACCUCUUUCAGCACAGACGAAGCGCAAGUGACGGUAUGUGCAGAAGAAGGACCGGCCAACUACGUGCCAGCCGCCGCCGUAA
RNAcentral lists this ribosomal RNA (478 nucleotides) under uncultured bacterium. RNAcentral's name for it is "partial 16S ribosomal RNA". It matches the Rfam family "Bacterial small subunit ribosomal RNA", at positions 28 to 523 of the family's 1533-position model. The record is from RNAcentral.